CGGGAUGUAGCGCAGUUGGUAGCGCAAUAGCUUUGGGAGCUAUGGGCCGCAGGUUCAAGUCCUGUCAUCCCGA
RNAcentral lists this transfer RNA (73 nucleotides) under Volvocales sp. NrCl902. Its description in RNAcentral is "tRNA-Pro". It matches the Rfam family "tRNA". Rfam says of the family: Transfer RNA (tRNA) molecules are approximately 80 nucleotides in length. Lineage: Eukaryota; Viridiplantae; Chlorophyta; Chlorophyceae; Chlamydomonadales. The record is from RNAcentral.